RNAcentral lists this microRNA precursor (78 nucleotides) under Glycine max (soybean). Its description in RNAcentral is "miR167g stem-loop (gma-MIR167g, gma-MIR167j)". Its record names the gene gma-MIR167g. Lineage: Eukaryota; Viridiplantae; Streptophyta; Magnoliopsida; Fabales; Fabaceae. The record is from miRBase by way of RNAcentral.
CAGCAGUUGAAGCUGCCAGCAUGAUCUGAGUUUACCUUCUAUUGGUAAGAACAGAUCAUGUGGCUGCUUCACCUGUUG